RNAcentral lists this ribosomal RNA (2796 nucleotides) under Campylobacter coli. RNAcentral describes it as "partial 23S ribosomal RNA". It matches the Rfam family "Bacterial large subunit ribosomal RNA". Lineage: Bacteria; Pseudomonadati; Campylobacterota; Epsilonproteobacteria; Campylobacterales; Campylobacteraceae. The record is from RNAcentral.
GUAAGCUACUAAGAGCGAAUGGUGGAUGCCUUGACUGGUAAAGGCGAUGAAGGACGUACUAGACUGCGAUAAGCUACGGGGAGCUGUCAAGAAGCUUUGAUCCGUAGAUUUCCGAAUGGGGCAACCCAAUGUAUAGAGAUAUACAUUACCUAUAUAGGAGCGAACGAGGGGAAUUGAAACAUCUUAGUACCCUCAGGAAAAGAAAUCAAUAGAGAUUGCGUCAGUAGCGGCGAGCGAAAGCGCAAGAGGGCAAACCCAGUGCUUGCACUGGGGGUUGUAGGACUGCAAUGUGCAAGAGGUGAGUUUAGCAGAACAUUCUGGAAAGUAUAGCCAUAGAGGGUGAUAGUCCCGUAUGCGAAAAACAAACCUUAGCUAGCAGUAUCCUGAGUAGGGCGGGACACGAGAAAUCCUGUCUGAAGCUGGGUCGACCACGAUCCAACCCUAAAUACUAAUACCAGAUCGAUAGUGCACAAGUACCGUGAGGGAAAGGUGAAAAGAACUGAGGUGAUCAGAGUGAAAUAGAACCUGAAACCAUUUGCUUACAAUCAUUCAGAGCCCUAUGUAGCAAUACAGGGUGAUGGACUGCCUUUUGCAUAAUGAGCCUGCGAGUUGUGGUGUCUGGCAAGGUUAAGCAAACGCGAAGCCGUAGCGAAAGCGAGUCUGAAUAGGGCGCUUAGUCAGAUGCUGCAGACCCGAAACGAAGUGAUCUAUCCAUGAGCAAGUUGAAGCUAGUGUAAGAACUAGUGGAGGACUGAACCCAUAGGCGUUGAAAAGCCCCGGGAUGACUUGUGGAUAGGGGUGAAAGGCCAAUCAAACUUCGUGAUAGCUGGUUCUCUCCGAAAUAUAUUUAGGUAUAGCGUUGUGUCGUAAUAUAAGGGGGUAGAGCACUGAAUGGGCUAGGGCAUACACCAAUGUACCAAACCCUAUCAAACUCCGAAUACCUUAUAUGUAAUCACAGCAGUCAGGCGGCGAGUGAUAAAAUCCGUCGUCAAGAGGGAAACAACCCAGACUACCAGCUAAGGUCCCUAAAUCUUACUUAAGUGGAAAACGAUGUGAAGUUACUUAAACAACCAGGAGGUUGGCUUAGAAGCAGCCAUCCUUUAAAGAAAGCGUAAUAGCUCACUGGUCUAGUGAUUUUGCGCGGAAAAUAUAACGGGGCUAAAGUAAGUACCGAAGCUGUAGACUUGCACACAACUUAGAUUAUUUAAGUUUAGAAUAUGAGAAACUAAGUUAUAUGUUUAGUUAUAUUUUUACUGAUUUUUAUAGAGUAAAGAUAGAAAUAAAACUUAGUAAAAUCAGUAAAAAUAUUCUUAGACUAAAGUUAAGUAGUUUAAGUUGUGUGCAAGUGGUAGGAGAGCGUUCUAUUUGCGUCGAAGGUAUACCGGUAAGGAGUGCUGGAGCGAAUAGAAGUGAGCAUGCAGGCAUGAGUAGCGAUAAUUAAUGUGAGAAUCAUUAACGCCGUAAACCCAAGGUUUCCUACGCGAUGCUCGUCAUCGUAGGGUUAGUCGGGUCCUAAGUCGAGUCCGAAAGGGGUAGACGAUGGCAAAUUGGUUAAUAUUCCAAUACCAACAUUAGUGUGCGAUGGAAGGACGCUUAGGGCUAAGGGGGCUAGCGGAUGGAAGUGCUAGUCUAAGGUCGUAGGAGGUUAUACAGGCAAAUCCGUAUAACAAUACUCCGAGAACUGAAAGGCUUUUUGAAGUCUUCGGAUGGAUAGAAGAACCCCUGAUGCCGUCGAGCCAAGAAAAGUUUCUAAGUUUAGCUAAUGUUGCCCGUACCGUAAACCGACACAGGUGGGUGGGAUGAGUAUUCUAAGGCGCGUGGAAGAACUCUCUUUAAGGAACUCUGCAAAAUAGCACCGUAUCUUCGGUAUAAGGUGUGGUUCGCUUCGUAUUAGGAUUUACUCCGAAAGCGAAGAAACUUACAACAAAGAGUCCCUCCCGACUGUUUACCAAAAACACAGCACUCUGCUAACUCGUAAGAGGAUGUAUAGGGUGUGACGCCUGCCCGGUGCUCGAAGGUUAAUUGAUGGGGUUAGCAUUAGCGAAGCUCUUGAUCGAAGCCCGAGUAAACGGCGGCCGUAACUAUAACGGUCCUAAGGUAGCGAAAUUCCUUGUCGGUUAAAUACCGACCUGCAUGAAUGGCGUAACGAGAUGGGAGCUGUCUCAAAGAGGGAUCCAGUGAAAUUGUAGUGGAGGUGAAAAUUCCUCCUACCCGCGGCAAGACGGAAAGACCCCGUGGACCUUUACUACAGCUUGACACUGCUAUUUGGAUAAGAAUGUGCAGGAUAGGUGGGAGGCUUUGAGUAUAUGACGCCAGUUGUAUAUGAGCCAUUGUUGAGAUACCACUCUUUCUUAUUUGGGUAGCUAACCAGCUUGAGUUAUCCUCAAGUGGGACAAUGUCUGGUGGGUAGUUUGACUGGGGCGGUCGCCUCCCAAAUAAUAACGGAGGCUUACAAAGGUUGGCUCAGAACGGUUGGAAAUCGUUCGUAGAGUAUAAAGGUAUAAGCCAGCUUAACUGCAAGACAUACAAGUCAAGCAGAGACGAAAGUCGGUCUUAGUGAUCCGGUGGUUCUGUGUGGAAGGGCCAUCGCUCAAAGGAUAAAAGGUACCCCGGGGAUAACAGGCUGAUCUCCCCCAAGAGCUCACAUCGACGGGGAGGUUUGGCACCUCGAUGUCGGCUCAUCGCAUCCUGGGGCUGGAGCAGGUCCCAAGGGUAUGGCUGUUCGCCAUUUAAAGCGGUACGCGAGCUGGGUUCAGAACGUCGUGAGACAGUUCGGUCCCUAUCUGCCGUGGGCGU